UGGGGAAUAUUGGACAAUGGGCGAAAGCCUGAUCCAGCCAUGCCGCGUGUGUGAAGAAGGUCUUCGGAUUGUAAAGCACUUUAAGUUGGGAGGAAGGGCAUUAACCUAAUACGUUAGUGUUUUGACGUUACCGACAGAAUAAGCACCGGCUAACUCUGUGCCAGCAGCCGCGGUAAUAAAGAGGGUGCAAGCGUUAAUCGGAAUUACUGGGCGUAAAGCGCGCGUAGGUGGUUUGUUAAGUUGGAUGUGAAAUCCCCGGGCUCAACCUGGGAACUGCAUUCAAAACUGACUGACUAGAGUAUGGUAGAGGGUGGUGGAAUUUCCUGUGUAGCGGUGAAAUGCGUAGAUAUAGGAAGGAACACCAGUGGCGAAGGCGACCACCUGGACUAAUACUGACACUGAGGUGCGAAAGCGUGGGGAGCAAACA
RNAcentral lists this ribosomal RNA (427 nucleotides) under uncultured bacterium. Its description in RNAcentral is "partial 16S ribosomal RNA". It matches the Rfam family "Bacterial small subunit ribosomal RNA", at positions 355 to 774 of the family's 1533-position model. The record is from RNAcentral.